AGAGUUUGAUCCUGGCUCAGGACGAACGCUGGCGGCGUGCUUAACACAUGCAAGUCGAACGGAAAGGCCCUUCGGGGUACUCGAGUGGCGAACGGGUGAGUAACACGUGGGUGAUCUGCCCUGCACUUUGGGAUAAGCCUGGGAAACUGGGUCUAAUACCGAAUAUGAUCAUGGCCUGCAUGGGUUGUGGUGGAAAGCUUUUGCGGUGUGGGAUGGGCCCGCGGCCUAUCAGCUUGUUGGUGGGGUAAUGGCCUACCAAGGCGACGACGGGUAGCCGGCCUGAGAGGGUGACCGGCCACACUGGGACUGAGAUACGGCCCAGACUCCUACGGGAGGCAGCAGUGGGGAAUAUUGCACAAUGGGCGCAAGCCUGAUGCAGCGACGCCGCGUGAGGGAUGACGGCCUUCGGGUUGUAAACCUCUUUCAGUAGGGACGAAGCGCAAGUGACGGUACCUAUAGAAGAAGGACCGGCCAACUACGUGCCAGCAGCCGCGGUAAUACGUAGGGUCCGAGCGUUGUCCGGAAUUACUGGGCGUAAAGAGCUCGUAGGUGGUUUGUCGCGUUGUUCGUGAAAACUCACAGCUCAACUGUGGGCGUGCGGGCGAUACGGGCAGACUUGAGUACUGCAGGGGAGACUGGAAUUCCUGGUGUAGCGGUGGAAUGCGCAGAUAUCAGGAGGAACACCGGUGGCGAAGGCGGGUCUCUGGGCAGUAACUGACGCUGAGGAGCGAAAGCGUGGGGAGCGAACAGGAUUAGAUACCCUGGUAGUCC
Molecule: ribosomal RNA, 771 nt
Filed under: uncultured bacterium
Lineage: Bacteria
Description: bacterial SSU rRNA
Rfam family: Bacterial small subunit ribosomal RNA
Source: RNAcentral